This 58-nucleotide transfer RNA is filed under the name Candidatus Nomurabacteria bacterium RIFOXYB1_FULL_43_14. RNAcentral's name for it is "tRNA-Asp". It matches the Rfam family "tRNA", at positions 7 to 60 of the family's 71-position model. From Rfam's summary of the family: Transfer RNA (tRNA) molecules are approximately 80 nucleotides in length. Lineage: Bacteria; Candidatus Nomuraibacteriota. The record is from RNAcentral.
GUAGCUCAACUGGUUAGUAGCACCCGCCUGUCACGCGGGAGGUUGGCGGUUCAAAUCC